CGGGUUUCGCGACGAUUGAGCC
RNAcentral lists this microRNA (22 nucleotides) under Blattella germanica (German cockroach). RNAcentral describes it as "Bge-Mir-76_5p* (star (passenger))". Lineage: Eukaryota; Metazoa; Arthropoda; Insecta; Blattodea; Blattellidae. The record is from RNAcentral.